This 545-nucleotide ribosomal RNA is filed under the name Klebsiella pneumoniae subsp. pneumoniae. RNAcentral's name for it is "bacterial SSU rRNA". It matches the Rfam family "Bacterial small subunit ribosomal RNA", at positions 84 to 625 of the family's 1533-position model. Lineage: Bacteria; Pseudomonadati; Pseudomonadota; Gammaproteobacteria; Enterobacterales; Enterobacteriaceae. The record is from RNAcentral.
UCGGGUGACGAGCGGCGGACGGGUGAGUAAUGUCUGGGAAACUGCCUGAUGGAGGGGGAUAACUACUGGAAACGGUAGCUAAUACCGCAUAACGUCGCAAGACCAAAGUGGGGGACCUUCGGGCCUCAUGCCAUCAGAUGUGCCCAGAUGGGAUUAGCUUGUAGGUGGGGUAACGGCUCACCUAGGCGACGAUCCCUAGCUGGUCUGAGAGGAUGACCAGCCACACUGGAACUGAGACACGGUCCAGACUCCUACGGGAGGCAGCAGUGGGGAAUAUUGCACAAUGGGCGCAAGCCUGAUGCAGCCAUGCCGCGUGUGUGAAGAAGGCCUUCGGGUUGUAAAGCACUUUCAGCGGGGAGGAAGGCGGUGAGGUUAAUAACCUCAUCGAUUGACGUUACCCGCAGAAGAAGCACCGGCUAACUCCGUGCCAGCAGCCGCGGUAAUACGGAGGGUGCAAGCGUUAAUCGGAAUUACUGGGCGUAAAGCGCACGCAGGCGGUCUGUCAAGUCGGAUGUGAAAUCCCCGGGCUCAACCUGGGAACUGCA